This is a long non-coding RNA of Ictalurus punctatus (channel catfish), 1412 nucleotides long. RefSeq lists it as uncharacterized. The record is from RefSeq and is a predicted model, not a curated record. The transcript is spliced from 3 exons. Lineage: Eukaryota; Metazoa; Chordata; Actinopteri; Siluriformes; Ictaluridae.
GCAAUUAGCUAGCUGACUACUUGAUUAAAAGGAGGGAAGUUUACUUCCUGACCUCACAACGACCCGUGUGCGUUACGCAUUAUCCAAUAAAAAUUUGGAGUUGUCCCGGAGGACAGCUGUGAUUGGCUCCAGCCACCCGCAACCAUGAACAUGAGCGGUAGGAAAUGAAUGGAUUGAAAUACAUGAGAAUGUUUUAUAUUUUUAACGUUAUUAUUUUUUUUUUAAUUAAAGAUUUGUCUGCGAGCCAGAUGCAGCCAUCAAAAGAGCCACAUCUGGCUCGCGAGCCAUAGGUUCCCGACCCCUGCUCUAAACAGUAAAACGAAAUCCGAAAGUCGGGUUAUGGCGGAGUGUAGUUUUUUUGACUGCACUAAUAGUUCGUAAACACCACACAGGAAGUAGGAAAAGAACUACAUUUCCCAUCUGCCCUGGCUGUCACAGGCUAAUAGCACCAGCUGCUUUCCAUUGCCCUAAUGAGUGAUUCUACUGCGGCAACGAGACCAAAUACAACGAAAGUAUUGAUGCUGCAAAAGAAGACGGAUCUUUUGCUAGGCUGGUUAAUGAUGACCACAAGCACCCAAAUGGCAGAAUGCAGAAGACUGAAGUGGAUGGAAGCCCACAUCUUGGUCUGUUUGCUUUAACAGACUUUAAAGAAGGUGAUGAAAUUACCUACAAUUACAGAGGAGGAGACUGGCCUUGGUGUAGCAAGAUUUUCCAAAUGUCUAUUAAAUAUGCAGAUUAUGGAGGGGGACACUGCUGAGAGCAAUGGCCAGGAGAAACAGCAGCCAUCACCGUCUACACCUUUUCUGGAUCAUAAAUAUUAGAAUUGUGUAGUUUGCUGGCACUUUUAAUCCUGCCUUUCAAUCACACCUCUCCAUAAAGCUUCAGUGUGCUACCCAUUUACAUGUUUAGGCUGCCUGGAAUCAAAAUUAGCUACCUCAACAUACAUUAUUAAGUUGUUACUGUCACUUUUUAGCUUAGUCAGUUAAGUGGAUAUAGAAUUGUGUUUAUGACAUUUGGUUGUGUGUCUGUGUUUGGCUAGUAUCUUUAUUUUUCUCAAUAUGUUUAACUUUGAGCUGGCUAUAUGUAGUAAGCAGAAGUGUUAUGUCAAACUUAAAUGAGUCCAAGUUCAUUCAUGGCACAUGUGAGCUUAGUGGUUGUGUACUUUAAUGGGCAAAUAUUUGUUGUCUUUUACAGUAAAGAAGCUCAAGACUCAAGUUGUCUUUAUAAUGUUGAAUAGACAGGGUUUUUUCAUCUGACUGACAAUUUUUCACUUGAUUAGAGAUCCAGACCAAUAAACAAAUCCUUCAUGCAGCUAAAAUAUCAAAAGGAUGAGUUUCUUUGUCAUUUUGACUUGCCAAAAUGACUGGGGAUAGUGUUAAUUUGUGAUGCAUGCCUGUGAUAAAUAAGUGAGG